Molecule: small nucleolar RNA, 76 nt
Organism: Diceros bicornis minor
Lineage: Eukaryota; Metazoa; Chordata; Mammalia; Perissodactyla; Rhinocerotidae
Product: small nucleolar RNA SNORD113/SNORD114 family
Exons: 1
Source: RefSeq, a predicted model, not a curated record
UUGAUCAGUAAUGAUGAUUUGGUGGUAUAUGGGUCGUACAGAGUGAAUACUACAUGUCUGGAACUCUGAGGUUCAA